GUGGGGAAUCUUCCGCAAUGGACGAAAGUCUGACGGAGUAACGCCGCGUGAGUGAAGAAGGUUUUCGGAUCGUAAAGCUCUUUCGUUAGGGACGAACGUGCUCUUUGUGAAUAAUGAGGAGUAAUGACGGUACCUAAAUAAGAAGCCACGGCUAACUACGUGCCAGCAGCCGCGGUAAUACGUAGGUGGCAAGCGUUGUCCGGAAUUAUUGGGCGUAAAGCGCGCGCAGGCGGGAUAUCAAGUCUGUCUUAAAAGUGCGAGGCUCAACCUCGUGAGGGGACAGAAACUGGUAUUCUUGAGUGUCGGAGAGGAAAGUGGAAUUCCAAGUGUAGCGGUGAAAUGCGUAGAGAUUUGGAAGAACACCAGUGGCGAAGGCGACUUUCUGGACGAUGUCUGACGCUGAGGCGCGAAAGCUAGGGGAGCGAACGGGAUUAGAUACCCGAGUAGUCC
This 450-nucleotide ribosomal RNA is filed under the name uncultured bacterium. RNAcentral's name for it is "partial 16S ribosomal RNA". It matches the Rfam family "Bacterial small subunit ribosomal RNA", at positions 354 to 796 of the family's 1533-position model. The record is from RNAcentral.